AUUGAACGCUGGCGGCAGGCUUAACACAUGCAAGUCGAGCGGGGGAAGGUAGCUUGCUACCGGACCUAGCGGCGGACGGGUGAGUAAUGCUUAGGAAUCUGCCUAUUAGUGGGGGACAACAUCUCGAAAGGGAUGCUAAUACCGCAUACGUCCUACGGGAGAAAGCAGGGGAUCUUCGGACCUUGCGCUAAUAGAUGAGCCUAAGUCGGAUUAGCUAGUUGGUGGGGUAAAGGCCUACCAAGGCGACGAUCUGUAGCGGGUCUGAGAGGAUGUUCCGCCACACUGGGACUGAGCCACGGCCCAGACUCCUACGGGAGGCAGCAGUGGGGAAUAUUGGACAAUGGGGGGAACCCUGAUCCAGCCAUGCCGCGUGUGUGAAGAAGGCCUUAUGGUUGUAAAGCACUUUAAGCGAGGAGGAGGCUACUCUAGUUAAUACCUAGGGAUAGUGGACGUUACUCGCAGAAUAAGCACCGGCUAACUCUGUGCCAGCAGCCGCCGUAA
Molecule: ribosomal RNA, 501 nt
Filed under: uncultured bacterium
Lineage: Bacteria
Description: partial 16S ribosomal RNA
Rfam family: Bacterial small subunit ribosomal RNA
Source: RNAcentral